GCCUUGGUAGCUUAAUCGGUAAAGCAUCAUAGUGUCGCUAUGAUAGAUGUCAGUUCAAAUCUGAUGUAAGGCG
Molecule: non-coding RNA, 73 nt
Organism: Lizanozyma spartinae
Lineage: Eukaryota; Fungi; Ascomycota; Pichiomycetes; Serinales; Debaryomycetaceae
Source: the annotation of a RefSeq genome assembly